Lytechinus variegatus (green sea urchin) is the source of this 5392-nucleotide long non-coding RNA. RefSeq lists it as uncharacterized. The transcript is spliced from 3 exons. NCBI's taxonomy places the organism in Eukaryota, Metazoa, Echinodermata, Echinoidea, Temnopleuroida, Toxopneustidae. The record is from RefSeq and is a predicted model, not a curated record.
CCCCCCGGCAGAAAAAAAAUAUAUAGCGAAGAAAGAAAAUAAAGCCUGGUACUUUAUUUAAUGUAAACGCGUGAAAGAUGGCGCUCUUCCGUUUCAAAGCCAGACAGGAAAUGCCACGCACGGUGAAAUAAGGGUGAUCACCUGAUUCAGAGAAUGAGAGGGGGGCGCUAAAAUCGAAAUUAGCUUGACAGGUACAAUGCAAGACACCUCUGAAGUCAUGAUGUAUUUUCAAAAAAUAAAACAACUUGCAUUCAUUUUGAAUCUUGGAUGAGAGUAUUUUUCUUAUAAAUUUCAAAACUGAUUCCUUUCAUUAAAACAGCGCCAUCAGAAAUUGCUAUCCGCCUUUAAUUCUUUGUCUGUGUUUUUCAAAUCCUAAGACAAUUGCCUCUCGAACUUACCCAAAUAAACCAUCGUGGUCGUUGUACAAGAAUACCAUCGUCAUAGAAUGCAUUCUCAAGUCCUAUCAUCAUCGUCGUCGCUGUCAUUGUCAUCAAUCACCUGUCUGUGUCCGCUUUGGGCAUGUUGGGCGUGGAAGCAACUGCACGGAGGAAGGUCUAACAUUUCAUCUUGUUUCAUUUCUUUCAUGCUGUUUUUCCUCAUUUUCCGAGCAACUUUCUUCCAGGGGAUCUGCAUUUGGUUUACCACUAGUUUUCCGAUUUAUGGAUAUUUUUGCUCACGGCGACUGGCAAGACCGAAUACCGAGGUAUUUCUUAAUAUUUCACUUCGUAACAAUGGAAACAAUGAAUGAACUAUACUAGGUGCAUUGCAUUUCCAUACUUCGCUAUUAAAUCUCGGUCAAAGGCGCUCGGUGCUGCGUGAAACACAUUUAUUUUUUAGAAGUUAGAAGCUUCUUCAUAAUUCGCUGAAUCUACGUGAUAUGAGAUACCCCGUUCAUCGGAUUCAAUCAGUUAUUCCUGCACACAUCAUAAUCCACAUCUUUCUUAUUUCGAUCUGAAAAGGGGUGCAUGAGUUUAAGCACUAUUUCAUUUUUUAAGUACUGUGUAGGAACAUUCUGAAGUGGGAGGGGGCAGGGCCCUGUCCAAGGAGGAUUAGUUUAUUGUCACUGGUGUGCUGAGCAUUGCCACAGCACCCCAGUGACAAGAGAUAAUCCUGCCAGGUCCAUGGGGUAGGGUUCCUACAAAACUUUAUUUAUUUUCUUACAUAUCUGUUAUUCGUCACCCAUGGACCUCACCUAGGUCCAUGGUCAUACCUUCCAGAUUUCCAGGGGGGUGCUGCCUAUCGAAAAUAACACACGCAGCACCCCCGCGUCUUAGGGCCAUGACCCAAUACUGAACAAUCUAUUAGUUUCACAUCCUAUAGGGUGUACGAAAUAACCACCUGGGUAGAGAAUGGCAAACUGGAGAUUAAAGAACGAUAAGUGCCUACUAUAUAACAAACUUUCAGUUACCAUGGUUAUUACAACAUUCCUACUGGGUAGACUCACGGAUCCAUGCGAUUGGUCGAAUGCGCAGAAAGAAAUUACUUUCAAGCUCUUACGUUCAUGAAUAACAAGCAGUGGUGUUUCUAGCUGGUGGCCAAGUGGGCGAAAUUCUGGCGCCACUCGUCAUGCAUGUAGGGGCACAAAAGUGCAAAAAGGAAAAACAUCGCGAUAAAAUAAUGAAAGUUUCAACUUUGCUUCCCUCAUACACAGAGUAAAUGCACGCGAUAGAUUACACUUUUUUUUUAGAUAUAUUUCCUUUUUGUUUUCUAUGAUUUUCGUUUGUUUUAUGUUGUUUUCUUACAGGGACGUACAAGCAUGACAAGAUAAAUGCAUUUGUAAUUAAUUUGUAUUUUCUUUAAUUAUUGUUAUUCUUUUACUCCAGCAAACCUUCCAAAGGCGCCAAACAGAAUAUUCAAGUUAAGGGGGUAGGAUGUCGUGAAUGCUAUGUCGGGCAACGAUGGUAUAUCUUAUUAAAGCUUUGUUAAGACCAAAGAGUUAUACUAAUUGCUAUAAAGACGUAAGUCAUACAUUUCUGUAAAGAUAUGGUUGAAAUAUUAUCUUUUCAAUUUCAUAUUUGUCAGAAGAUUACUGCUUGCAUUUUGCAUUUUCAGUAAAGUUGCCAAUGAAAGGAGAUACAAAAAACCUCGAAUCUGUUUGACUGGAGCACUAUAUGAGAUUAUUUUUAAGACCGUAACUGAUUUGUUUAUCGAAAAAUUAUUUUACCAUUAACUUUCUUCAUUGUAUACUUCUAGUACACCACCCCCCCCCCCCCCCAACAUCAAAUCCCGUGUGGUCUAGUGGUUAGGAUUCGUGGUUUUCACCCACGCGGCCCGGGUUCGAUUCCCGGCACGGGAGGUGGCUAUUUUUAUCAUGUUUUCUAAAAUAUCCUUUUUAACAUUUUGACAAUGUUUCCGAAUUUAAAUGACUCUAAACCGUUACAUUAUAUAUAUUCUUAACGAAAUUUUGUGAUAUCGAUGGAGAUUUUAUGCAUAUUAGAUCUAGUAAAAUUGUAAAUUUGGUUGAAAUUAUUAUUUUUUCAAUUUUAUAUAUGUCAGGAGGUAACUGAUUGCAUUUUCAGUAAAAUUGCCUAAAGAAGAUAUGAAAGGCACUCGAAUCCGUGUGACACUUGUAUUAUGUCCAUGCGGUUUUUUUUUAAGACCGUAACUGAUUUGUUUAUAGCGAUAUUUUCUUUACCAUUGUCUUCAGUCUAUAUUGUUCCCAUCUUGGCAUCACUCAAUCCCGUGUGGUCUAGUGGUUAGGAUUCGUGGUUUUCACCCACGCGGCCCGGGUUCGAUUCCCGGCACGGGAGGAGCAUUUUUUUUUGGGGGGGGAGGGAGGGAGGGGGGCAACUGCAUAAUUUUUGUAAUACCUUCGCCUCUAUACCUUGCCACUUUCUUUAAUUCAUUUUCAAUAUUUUAUGUUGUCGAGCAGCACUGUAUAGUUUUAUUCAAAUUAAAAUUAAGACCUACAUUUAGUAAAAAUCAUAACUUCGAUUCAUGGCAUUUUUUUUCCUUUUUUUCGAUUUUAGGUUUAUCAGGAUCGAUGCCGUGGUUUUGUAUUUCAAAAUUUAUACAGAUUUCACUCCCAAUUUUAUGUAAGUAUCCAAACUUUCAUACCCAACCAGCUUAGCAAAGAGAAUGAUUGUAUUUUGUUUUAUUUCUUUAUCAUCCUUACAUCUUCUUGCCCCUCUAACCUUAUACCAUGCCGUUUGCAUUGUAAGGCUCUGUGCUCUAUUAUGACAUUUUUUUGCCAUUGCAAAUACAUUUUAAAGAGAAAUUAAUCAUUGAAAAUAUAUAUUAAUAAAAACGAUAAUGUUCUAGAGAAAAUAUAACGAAAAAAAAUAAAUUGAUACAUGGCAUGAAAAUUUUGAAUUUGUGGUGACGCCGUGGUCGUCUGGAAAAUAAAUUUUGUUGUCAUUAUCAUGAAACAGAGCAGUUUAAGCAUUGCAUCACUUGUCAAUAGUCCAUUUUCCUUAUCAUGUUGCAGUAAUUUGAAAGACAUAAGGAUUAUAAGAAAUAUAACAAUUAGUAGCAUAAUUUCUUGAACUAGCAGAACGAUUAAAAAAAGCGCCUUGGGCAAUCUGCUGACUGGAUUUGGCGCAUUACAAAUCCCGUAUAAUAGUAUUAUUAUUAUCAUUGUUCUGUUGUUGUUAUUAUUAGUAGUAGUAGUAGUAGUAUUAUCAUUAUUAGAUAUAGGACCUUAUCAGUGUUUCACGAUUCGAUUUGAAAUUUGGAAGCUGCGGUGAUGAAGGAUGCAUCCAAAACAUUCAUUUCUUAAAAUGAUGAUUAUAUAAGUAGAACUGGCAAUAAGUUUGCUAUUGAAUAUUCUCAUCAUGCAGCUCAACCUUUCCUUCUUAAUGCGACAGUUAGCAUAGUCACAAACGAACCGAUUCCAAACUGAUCGAUGAUCAAUAUGCCAUUGGAAAUUACGUAAUAUCUUUGAUCGGUCUUGAGUCAUUUUCGUUGGUGUUACAGCAGCAUUGCACCUGACAGAGUUCUUCGAUCAUAUCCCGACACCCUACAAUCGGAGCACCGAAUCCCGUGUGGUCUAGUGGUUAGGAUUCGUGGUUUUCACCCACGCGGCCUGGGUUCGAUUCCCGGCACGGGAGGUAGCUCUUUUUAUUAAGUUUAUCAUAUUUUCUAAAAUAACCUAACAAUUUUAACAAUGUUUGUGAAUCUACAUGACUGUAUACCGUUACACAAUUUUUUUUUAAAUUUCUUUUCUUUUUAUGUUGUCGAUGAAAAUUUUAUAUAGAUAUAAUCUUUAAAAAGAAAUCAAUUCGAUUGAAAUUUCAUAUUUUAAUAUUUGUAAGAAGAUUGCUUUUUGCAUUUAACAUUCUUCAGUGAAGUUUCCACGAUAAAACAAGAAAAUCAUUCGAAUCCAUGCGACUGUAACAAUAUAUUUUUUAAAGACUUUAACUGAUUUCUUUUCUCCUCAAACACAGAAUCCCGUGUGGUCUAGUGGUUAGGAUUCGUGGUUUUCACCCACGCGGCUCGGGUUCGAUUCCCGGCACGGGAGGGAACUAUUUUAUAUUUUGUACGUUCUCUAAAAAAUUAGUGUCAGAUUGGAUACAUGUGACGUAAAUUUCCGUCUAUCAAAUUGAAGUAAUUACGUUAAAUAACAUUUACCUUAACAUUUUAAUGAUUUUUGAAGCUUUGGUCAUGUUGUUCCUUGGCUGUUUUUUGUUUCAUGACCAACCUUUCUCUGGGUAAUAGAUUGCAAGAGACGUCGUUCUGAUAUAUACGCACCAUUUUCAUUUUGUUAACCUUGUUCUUUUUAUCACUAUUAGUAUCAUUUAUUGCUAUUCUUAUUUUUAUUAUCAUCAUCAUUAUUAUUACUAUUACCAUUACCAGUUUUAAAAUUGAUCAUUCACACUCCAUGUUUCUCCAUAUAACCAAUCAAAUAGUUUUUAUUGCAAUAUUUUUCAUUUGUCAAAAUUUAAAUACAAGUGUUAUGCAGUUUUAUACAUACACAGUACAAAACGCUGUUUGAAAUUUUAUACGGUAUUUACUACGUGGACACAUACGAGAUAUUUAGCCGUUUAAACAGCAAUGCUUUUUGUUGUGAAUUAAAUAUAAAAUGUAAACAUUCUUUAACACUUAAAUACUUAUUUAAACCGUUUGAAUAGUUACUGAACUUUUCAUACAUGUAUAAACAGCGCCUUAAUAUGAAUAUUAAACAGCAUCUGUACUGUGUAAAAUGGGUCCUAGGCCAUAUUUUAAUAAAAUAUGCACCACACAAAAAUGCGCUAAUUUUCUGACAGUCUCUAUCUUCAUGUCAUCUGGAAAGCCAUGUGCAUGCCAAACUUAUAGUUAUAUGUAUUCGGUUAGCUCUCAACCCACUACAGCUUAAGUUAAAUUUGAAUGUAAGUUUUAGACUGUAAAAUAAUAUAUUCGAAUUCUAAUGCGGGCGCGUCGUGGUCUAGUGGUUCUGACUCUCACCUUUCAAACA